AGGACGAACGCUGGCGGCGCGCUUAACACAUGCAAGUCGAGCGAGAACCAGUCCUUCGGGACUGGGGACAGCGGCGAACGGGUGAGUAACACGUGGGUAAUCUGCCCUCGAUUCUGGGAUAGCCCGGGGAAACCCGGAUUAAUACCGGAUAGCCUCUCGAGCUUUCGAGCUCGUGAGAAAAGGUAGCUUCGGCCUCCGAUCGAGGAUGAGCCCGCGGCGGAUUAGCUUGUUGGUGGGGUAAUGGCCUACCAAGGCAACGAUCCGUAGCUGGUCUGAGAGGACGAUCAGCCACACUGGGACUGAGACACGGCCCAGACUCCUACGGGAGGCAGCAGUGGGGAAUCUUGCGCAAUGGGCGAAAGCCUGACGCAGCGACGCCGCGUGGGGGAAGAAGGGCCUUCGGGUUGUAAACCUCUUUCAGCAGGGACGAAGCCACUCGGUUAAUAGCCCAGAGGUGACGGUACCUGCAGAAGAAGCCCGGCUAACUACGUGCCAGCAGCCGCGUAAU
This 508-nucleotide ribosomal RNA is filed under the name uncultured soil bacterium. RNAcentral's name for it is "bacterial SSU rRNA". It matches the Rfam family "Bacterial small subunit ribosomal RNA", at positions 26 to 524 of the family's 1533-position model. The record is from RNAcentral.